UGUUUACCUACCUUUGUUGCUUUGGCGGGCCUUGGGGUUCGCCCCAUCCCGGCCACGGGCACCCGCAGCCCGGGCCAGGCCGUGCCCGUCGGGGGUCCAUCAACAUCUGUUUACCAUGGUGUCCGAAGUGAAACCCACAUCAUUAAAACCUUCAACAACCGAUCUCUUGGUUUUGGCAUCACUGAAGAACUCACCCAAAUGCCAUAAAUAAUGUGAAUUGCAAAAUUCACUGUAUCAACCAAUCUUUGAACGCUCAUUCUCCCCUCGCCAUUCCCGGUAAAACACUGUUGGAGCGUCCUUGCACCCCUCAAGCUCCCCUUGGUAUUAGGCUGACGCCCCCGCGGGGGGCCGAAAAUCUAGUGGCGGUCCGGCGUGACUUCGAGCGUAAUCAAGUUACUUUCUCUUUGGAAACUCACGCUGCGGCCGGCCAGGACGCCCACAGUUAUUAUCAAUUGACCUCGGAUCACGUAGGGAUACCCGCUGAA
Molecule: ribosomal RNA, 485 nt
Filed under: uncultured Rhizoplaca
Lineage: Eukaryota; Fungi; Ascomycota; Lecanoromycetes; Lecanorales; Lecanoraceae
Description: eukaryotic LSU rRNA
Rfam family: 5.8S ribosomal RNA (bases 147-298)
Source: RNAcentral